AGGGUAAGCUACUAAGGGCACACGGUGGAUGCCUUGGCGCCAGGAGCCGAUGAAGGACGGGACGAACACCGAUAUGCCUCGGGGAGCUGUAAGUGAGCGUUGAUCCGGGGAUGUCCGAAUGGGGGAACCCGCCAGCUUGAAGAGCUGGCACCGCCAUCUGAAUCCAUAGGAUGGACGGGGGCACACCAGGGGAACUGAAACAUCUUAGUACCCUGAGGAAGAGAAAGCAAACGCGAUUCCCUGAGUAGCGGCGAGCGAAACGGGAACAGCCCAAACCGGUUGGCUUUGCCAACCGGGGUUGUAGGACGUCUCACACGGAGUCACAAAGGUGACGGAUAGAUGAAGUGGUUCUGGAAAGACCCGCCAAAGAAGGUAACAGCCCUGUAAUCGAAAUCGGUCACCCUCCGAGACGGAUCCUGAGUACCGCGGGACACGUGAAACCCCGUGGGAAGCAGGGAGGACCACCUCCCAAGGCUAAAUACUCCCUGGCGACCGAUAGUGAACCAGUACCGUGAGGGAAAGGUGAAAAGCACCCCGGGAGGGGAGUGAAAGAGAACCUGAAACCGUGUGCUUACAAUCAGUCGGAGUCCUUUUAAAGGGAUGACGGCGUGCCUUUUGUAGAAUGAACCGGCGAGUGACGGUCCCGUGCGAGGUUAAGGUGAGAAGCCGGAGCCGCAGCGAAAGCGAGUCUGAACAGGGCGAAUGAGUACGUGGCCGUCGACCCGAAACCGGGUGAUCUACCCAUGUCCAGGGUGAAGUUCCGGUAACACGGAAUGGAGGCCCGAACCUGUUGGUGUUGAAAAACCAUAGGAUGAGGUGUGGGUAGGGGUGAAAUGCCAAUCGAACCCGGAGAUAGCUGGUUCUCCCCGAAAUAGCUUUAGGGCUAGCCUCGGAGAGGAGUCGUGGAGGUAGAGCACUGAUUGGGCUAGGGGCCCCCACAGGGUUACCGAACUCAGUUAAACUCCGAAUGCCACAGACUCGUCCUCCGGGAGUCAGACUACGAGUGCUAAGAUCCGUGGUCGAGAGGGAAACAGCCCAGACCGCCAGCUAAGGUCCCAAAGUAACCGUUAAGUGGCAAAGGAUGUGGAGUUGCCCAGACAACCAGGAUGUUGGCUUAGAAGCAGCCAUCAUUCAAAGAGUGCGUAAUAGCUCACUGGUCAAGUGACUCUGCGCCGAAAAUGUAACGGGGCUAAACGGUUCACCGAAGCUGCGGAUGUCCUUCGGACAUGGUAGGGGAGCGUUCCAAACAGCAGCGAAGCUGCUUCGUGAGAAGUGGUGGAGCGUUUGGAAGUGAGAAUGCCGGUAUGAGUAGCGAAAAGAAGGGUGAGAAUCCCUUCCACCGAAAGCCUAAGGUUUCCUGAGGAAGGUUCGUCCGCUCAGGGUUAGUCGGGACCUAAGCCGAGGCCGAAAGGCGUAGGCGAUGGACAACAGGUUGAGAUUCCUGUACCACCUUGUUCCGUUGACGACGGGGGGACGCAGGAGGGUAGAGAAUCGCGCGACUGGUUGUGCGCGUCCAAGCAGUGAGGCUGAAGAGACAGGCAAAUCCGUCUCUUCUUUAAGGCCAGGCUGUGAUGGCGAGGGAAGUUUCAGUACCGAAGUUCUUGAUCUCACACUGCCAAGAAAAGCCUCUAAGGAGGAACAAGGUGCCCGUACCGCAAACCGACACAGGUAGGCGAGGAGAGAAUCCUAAGGUGCUCGGGAGAACUCUCGUUAAGGAACUCGGCAAAAUGACCCCGUAACUUCGGGAGAAGGGGUGCCCCGUUAGGGUCUUCGGGCCCGAGGGGGCCGCAGUGAAGAGGCCCAGGCGACUGUUUAGCAAAAACACAGGUCUCUGCAAAGCCGCAAGGCGAAGUAUAGGGGCUGACGCCUGCCCGGUGCUGGAAGGUUAAGGGGAAGAGUUAGCUCGCGCGAAGCUCUGAACCGAAGCCCCAGUAAACGGCGGCCGUAACUAUAACGGUCCUAAGGUAGCGAAAUUCCUUGUCGGGUAAGUUCCGACCCGCACGAAAGGCGUAACGAUCUGGGCACUGUCUCAACGAGAGACCCGGUGAAAUUGUACUACCAGUGAAGAUGCUGGUUACCCGCGACAAGACGGAAAGACCCCGUGGAGCUUUACUGCAGCCUGAUAUUGAAUCCGGGUACGGCUUGUACAGGAUAGGUGGGAGUCUGCGAAGCCGGAGCGCCAGCUUCGGUGGAGACGCCGGUGGGAUACCACUCUGGCCGUAUCGGGGUUCUAACUCGCCGCCGUCAUCCGGCGGGAGGACCGUGUCAGGUGGGCAGUUUGACUGGGGCGGUCGCCUCCUAAAAGGUAACGGAGGCGCUCCAAGGUUCCCUCAGCGCGGUUGGAAAUCGCGCCCUCAGAGUGCAAAGGCAGAAGGGAGCUUGACUGCGAGACCUACAAGUCGAGCAGGGACGAAAGUCGGACUUAGUGAUCCGGUGGUUCCGUGUGGAUGGGCCAUCGCUCAACGGAUAAAAGCUACCCCGGGGAUAACAGGCUUAUCUCCCCCAAGAGUCCACAUCGACGGGGAGGUUUGGCACCUCGAUGUCGGCUCAUCGCAUCCUGGGGCUGAAGUAGGUCCCAAGGGUUGGGCUGUUCGCCCAUUAAAGCGGUACGCGAGCUGGGUUCAGAACGUCGUGAGACAGUUCGGUCCCUAUCUGUCGCGGGCGCAGGAAAUUUGAGAGGAGCUGUCCUUAGUACGAGAGGACCGGGAUGGACGCACCUCUGGUGUACCAGUUGUUCCGCCAGGAGCACCGCUGGGUAGCCAAGUGCGGAAGGGAUAAGCGCUGAAAGCAUCUAAGCGCGAAGCCCCCCUCAAGAUGAGAUUUCCCAUUCCCUCGUGGAAGUAAGACCCCUUGCAGAUGACAAGGUAGAUCGGUCCGGGGUGUAAGCACAGCAAUGUGUUCAGCUGACGGAUACGAAUCGGUCGAGGGCUUUCCCUA
Molecule: ribosomal RNA, 2937 nt
Filed under: Thermoactinomyces intermedius
Lineage: Bacteria; Bacillati; Bacillota; Bacilli; Caryophanales; Thermoactinomycetaceae
Description: 23S ribosomal RNA
Rfam family: Bacterial large subunit ribosomal RNA
Source: RNAcentral